UAGAUUUGUUUUAAGUCAAACUUGUCCAAUUUUGACCAAAUUUGUAUAAAAUAUUAAAAUAUUUAUACUUCUAAAUAUAUGCAAUAUCAAAAUAUAUUUCAUGGUGAAUUCAAUGAAACAAAUUUGAAAUUGUAAAUAUUGUUAUAUUUUUCUAUAAAUUUGGUUAAAGUUGAGAAAAUUUGACUUAGGACGAACCUAA
This 199-nucleotide microRNA precursor is filed under the name Setaria italica (foxtail millet). RNAcentral describes it as "MIR1435 microRNA precursor family". It matches the Rfam family "MIR1435 microRNA precursor family". Lineage: Eukaryota; Viridiplantae; Streptophyta; Magnoliopsida; Poales; Poaceae. The record is from Rfam by way of RNAcentral.